GGAAAUUGAUGACUCCAUGUGAUAAGGUCUCGUUCGUCGUAAUGAUAUGAUGAACUCACACCUUGCCGACCAUCCUGUUAUAUCACCACCCAUAAACUGAAUCC
Molecule: non-coding RNA, 104 nt
Organism: Helianthus annuus (common sunflower)
Lineage: Eukaryota; Viridiplantae; Streptophyta; Magnoliopsida; Asterales; Asteraceae
Source: Rfam